This 380-nucleotide long non-coding RNA is filed under the name Homo sapiens (human). Lineage: Eukaryota; Metazoa; Chordata; Mammalia; Primates; Hominidae. The record is from RNAcentral.
GUUCCCUCAGAUGAAGGAAGGGAGAACCCUAAUCUGAAGAGGGGAGGUCUGAAGUGGACAGGAACAGUAUCAAGGAGACCACAGGAGGCAAAACAUUAAAAGUUGAAGAAACAGCAUAAAUAACAGAAGACUGAAACUAAGCUGAUUGGAUCAAGGACAGACACCUGACCAAGGACAGUCACGCUGUGCUUUAUGUCCCGGCAGAAAAAGGCUCUGCUAUUGAGAAUCAGUGACAAGGUGGAUGUAGCGAUGCGGGGAGAAGCCUCUCAUUUCAAGAUUUCUGGUUCUGUAUUUUAAACCAUGGAGUUCGCAAGAACAAAAUUGAUUGGAAGCCUAUCAAAGUUCGAGAAUGGUGUUUUUAGAAAUAAGCCAAGCCUUAG